This 90-nucleotide transfer RNA is filed under the name Felis catus (domestic cat). It matches the Rfam family "tRNA". From Rfam's summary of the family: Transfer RNA (tRNA) molecules are approximately 80 nucleotides in length. Their secondary structure includes four short double-helical elements and three loops (D, anti-codon, and T loops). The record is from Rfam by way of RNAcentral. Lineage: Eukaryota; Metazoa; Chordata; Mammalia; Carnivora; Felidae.
GCCUGGGUGGCUCAGUUGGUUGAGCGUCCGACUUCAGCUCAGGUCAUGAUCUCAUGGUCCAGUCCGUGGGUUCAAGCCCCUCAUCGGGCU